AGAGUUUGAUCCUGGCUCAGAUUGAACGCUGGCGGCAUGCCUUACACAUGCAAGUCGAACGGCAGCACGGGAGCAAUCCUGGUGGCGAGUGGCGAACGGGUGAGUAAUAUAUCGGAACGUGCCCAGACGUGGGGGAUAACGUAGCGAAAGCUACGCUAAUACCGCAUGUGAUCUGUGGAUGAAAGCGGGGGAUCGCAAGA
This 200-nucleotide ribosomal RNA is filed under the name uncultured bacterium. RNAcentral's name for it is "partial 16S ribosomal RNA". It matches the Rfam family "Bacterial small subunit ribosomal RNA", at positions 8 to 212 of the family's 1533-position model. The record is from RNAcentral.